GAUGAACGCUGGCGGCGUGCCUAAUACAUGCAAGUCGAGCGAACAGAUAAGGAGCUUGCUCCUUUGACGUUAGCGGCGGACGGGUGAGUAACACGUGGGUAACCUACCUAUAAGACUGGAAUAACUCCGGGAAACCGGGGCUAAUGCCGGAUAACAUUUUGAACCGCAUGGUUCUACAGUGAAAGGCGGCUUUGCUGUCACUUAUAGAUGGACCCGCGCCGUAUUAGCUAGUUGGUGAGGUAACGGCUCACCAAGGCAACGAUACGUAGCCGACCUGAGAGGGUGAUCGGCCACACUGGAACUGAGACACGGUCCAGUCUCCUACGGGAGGCAGCAGUAGGGAAUCUUCCGCAAUGGGCGAAAGCCUGACGGAGCAACGCCGCGUGAGUGAUGAAGGUCUUCGGAUCGUAAAACUCUGUUAUUAGGGAAGAACAAAUGCGUAAGUAACUGUGCGCGUCUUGACGGUACCUAAUCAGAAAGCCACGGCUAACUACGUG
Molecule: ribosomal RNA, 497 nt
Filed under: uncultured bacterium
Lineage: Bacteria
Description: partial 16S ribosomal RNA
Rfam family: Bacterial small subunit ribosomal RNA
Source: RNAcentral